This 794-nucleotide long non-coding RNA is filed under the name Homo sapiens (human). RNAcentral's name for it is "HSALNT0371892". Lineage: Eukaryota; Metazoa; Chordata; Mammalia; Primates; Hominidae. The record is from RNAcentral.
GGCGGCACUCACCGAGGGGAUUAGGGGUGUGGUGUGAGCGAGGCGGCGGCACUCACCGAGGGGAUUAGGGGUGUGAGCGAGGCGGCGGCACUCACCGAGGGGAUUAGGGGUGUGGUGUGAGUGAGGCGGCGGCACUCACCGAGGGGAUUAGGGGUGUGGUAUGAGCGAGGCGGCGGCACUCACCGAGGGGAUUAGGGGUGUGGUAGGAGUGAGGCGGCGGCACUCACCGAGGGGAUUAGGGGUGUGGUGUGAGCGAGGCGGCGGCACUCACCGAGGGGAUUAGGGGUGUGGUGUGAGCGAGGCGGCGGCACUCACCGAGGGGAUUAGGGGUGUGGUGUGAGCGAGGCGGCCGCACUCACCGAGGGGAUUAGGGGUGUGGUGUGAGUGAGGCGGCGGCACUCACCGAGGGGAUUAGGGGUGUGGUGUGAGCGAGGCGGCGGCACUCACCGAGGGGAUUAGGGGUGUGGUGUGAGCGAGGCGGCGGCACUCACCGAGGGGAUUAGGGGUGUGGUGUGAGCGAGGCGGCGGCACUCACCGAGGGGAUUAGGGGUGUGGUAGGAGUGAGGCGGCGGCACUCACCGAGGGGAUUAGGGGUGUGGUAGGAGUGAGGCGGCGGCACUCACCGAGGGGAUUAGGGGUGUGGUGUGAGUGAGGCGGCGGCACUCACCGAGGGGAUUAGGGGUGUGGUAGGAGUGAGGCGGCGGCACUCACCGAGGGGAUUAGGGGUGUGGUAGGAGUGAGGCGGCGGCACUCACCGAGGGGAUUAGGGGUGUGGUGUGAGCGAGGCGGCGGCA